CCUACGGGUGGCUGCAGUGGGGAAUAUUGGACAAUGGGGGGAACCCUGAUCCAGCCAUGCCGCGUGUGUGAAGAAGGCCCUCGGGUUGUAAAGCACUUUCAGUGAGGAAGAACGCCUGGUGGUUAAUACCCAUCAGGAAAGACAUCACUCACAGAAGAAGCACCGGCUAACUCCGUGCCAGCAGCCGCGGUAAUACGGAGGGUGCGAGCGUUAAUCGGAAUUACUGGGCGUAAAGCGCGCGUAGGUGGCUUGAUAAGCCGGUUGUGAAAGCCCCGGGCUCAACCUGGGAACGGCAUCCGGAACUGUCAAGCUAGAGUGCAGGAGAGGAAGGUAGAAUUCCCGGUGUAGCGGUGAAAUGCGUAGAGAUCGGGAGGAAUACCAGUGGCGAAGGUGGCCUUCUGGACUGACACUGACACUGAGGUGCGAAAGCGUGGGUAGCAAACAGGAUUAGAUACCCCGGUAGUC
RNAcentral lists this ribosomal RNA (465 nucleotides) under Vreelandella stevensii. Its description in RNAcentral is "partial 16S ribosomal RNA". It matches the Rfam family "Bacterial small subunit ribosomal RNA", at positions 338 to 795 of the family's 1533-position model. The record is from RNAcentral. Lineage: Bacteria; Pseudomonadati; Pseudomonadota; Gammaproteobacteria; Oceanospirillales; Halomonadaceae.